GAUCUUCAUAUUAUUUUUAUAUUCUUCACUCUUAGUUUACCAACAAAACUCUAAUUUUUCCUUAAGAAUAGUAGUAAAAUACUCUAGUUGUAGCUCCUACUACAGCCUAUCCUAUCCUCUCCAUCUUCUUUUGAAUAAGUAUUAUGAUGGUAGCGAAAAUCUUUUAAGAUAAAGGCACAAGAGCCCACACUAUUAUCAUC
This 200-nucleotide long non-coding RNA is filed under the name Elaeis guineensis (African oil palm). RNAcentral's name for it is "long non-coding RNA (EGUI_LNC034953)". Lineage: Eukaryota; Viridiplantae; Streptophyta; Magnoliopsida; Arecales; Arecaceae. The record is from RNAcentral.